CAAGAUCGACAAAGGCAUACAAAAUUAAAAAUGUCUAUGGCUGUUUGAAUGUCCAUCAGGAAAAUACCUCGUAGAUGUGUGAAUGUCCUGGAAAAUCUCUCUUCGAUGGACAUUACUGCUCAUAGCUUUGAGUCUAAGGACGAAUUCAGUAGGCAAUCUCUCUUCUAUGGACAUUACUCGUCUAUAGACAACUGAUGGCUCGAAUAUGUCAUGAAUUCUUGUCCAUGAUACUUUCAUCGGAUUUGGUCCACUAGAUCUAGUCCAUCAGAUCUAUUCCAUCAGAUUCUAGUACAUCUACAGACAAAUGUGUUAUCCAUAGCGUAAAUUUGGUUAGAUCGUGGAUGACGUCUUUCAUAGAUGUAUUAUUUUUUUCAUCCUCUGGUCAAUCAGUUUUGGUUUUAAGAAAUUUUAAGAUAGACAAGAUUAAUUAGUAAACAUUAACAAGUUUGGUCUACCGAUUUCGAUCUAUCAGAUCUGGUCCACUGAGAGAUAAAUACAAAAUCUGGUCCACUGUCGGAUCUAGUCCGUCGAAACCAGAACUGGUCUACCGGAGCUGGUCCACCGGAAUUGUUAAGGUAUUUGUUGUUGAAGAAAGAAAAAAAAAAGAUGAAAGAAGAAGAGAAAGAAAGAGAUGAAAGAAAAAGAUGAGAUGAAAGAAAAAGAUGAGAUGAAAGAGAAAGAGAUGAAAGAAAAGAGAGAAAGGUUUAGAAGGCCAAAUUUGACAUUUGAAUAACUUAAAAGUGGGUCAUGUGGCAUUUUUUAAAAAGUUGUAUUGAAUGUGGCAUUUUUCAGAAGUUUGGCCGUUUGGAUACUGUUCAUGGUUCUAAAAAUAACCAUAGUGAUAACAACAUGUUAGAUAUGACAAUAAGGUGUAUAUUUUUUUAUUGUUUUACACUAUGAAUAUGGGAUUUGAGAGAAUCAAAUUUAUGUAAAUGCAC
This 938-nucleotide long non-coding RNA is filed under the name Capsella rubella. RNAcentral describes it as "long non-coding RNA (CRUB_LNC003856)". The record is from RNAcentral. Lineage: Eukaryota; Viridiplantae; Streptophyta; Magnoliopsida; Brassicales; Brassicaceae.